RNAcentral lists this ribosomal RNA (253 nucleotides) under uncultured bacterium. RNAcentral describes it as "partial 16S ribosomal RNA". It matches the Rfam family "Bacterial small subunit ribosomal RNA", at positions 524 to 776 of the family's 1533-position model. The record is from RNAcentral.
GACGAACCGUGCGAACGUUGUUCGGAAUCACUGGGCUUAAAGGGCGCGUAGGCGGACUUGCAAGUCUGCGGUGAAAGCCUCCAGCUCAACUGGAGAAGUGCCGUGGAUACUGCGGGUCUGGAGGAGGGUAGGGGCAUCUGGAACGUUGGGUGGAGCGGUGAAAUGCGUUGAUAUCCAACGGAACUCCGGUGGCGAAGGCGAGGUGCUGGACCCUUUCUGACGCUGAGGCGCGAAAGCCAGGGGAGCGAACGGG